This is a non-coding RNA of Physcomitrium patens, 2015 nucleotides long. NCBI's taxonomy places the organism in Eukaryota, Viridiplantae, Streptophyta, Bryopsida, Funariales, Funariaceae. The record is from RefSeq and is a predicted model, not a curated record.
AACUCAACUUCCUGUGUUGGGUUGUGGAAUUGGUGAGGAGCAAUAUCUGCUUCAUCUCCUAUUUUACUGCUAACCAUCUUGCUCUCCCACGAACGACUGAAUGUUGCGUUGCGUUUCGAUUUUCAGGUACAGCUAAUGCUGUGAAGCAAAGGUGAUGUCAUUCGUACCGCGGUUUAGCUUCAAUCGUCCCUGUGCACAGUUCUUCUGUUGUGCAGAGGUUAAAGAAUCUAUCGCGGACCCGAAUCCAGCUCCGUGUCUGUGAGUUGAGUAUGAACCAAGCCAAGCCCUAAUUUCCCCACCUGGAAAGAGGGGAAAAGUAUGUACACGAGGCUUCACGAGGCGUGGCAGGAAUGCGAACCCCGAAACCGUCGGCAAUUGACUAGUUUGACGUCCAAACGAGUGUAAUUUCUCCUCCCCCACGCCACUCCUGAUCGCUAAGAUUCGCAUUUGCCGCUACCACUUCUCCAUUUCGUUCUACUCCAAGCGCCUUCACAUCGGCUCAAACUCUCAGAAUGCUCACCUGGUGGUAGGUUCUGAUUUCGUCUCCUGAUGUUCGCCUCUCUCAAAACUUGUUUACGAGCAUUGGUUUAGAGAUGGACGGAUGGGUAAGCUCAUGUGGACACAAUGAACUGCCAAACCUAUUGAUGUGCACACACGAGAAUUGAUUUUGUAGGAGUUCGUUCGCUUGCGCUGUAGGAUACCCAGCACCAUUCAGUGUUUAGCAAGCAUACUUCUUGUUUCUUGUUGUUUGUGUGUGUGUGUGUGUGUGUGUGUGUGUUUUUUCCCGUGUCUUCUACUGUUUUGUGAUCAUGAAUUGUGUCAACCCACUACAAGUCUCUGGUCUGAAGAUUGCCACGCGAUUGAAACAUCUUUUUGACGGGCCGACUCCGACAACAAACUCGAUCAGGUGGUCAUCGAAAGAUUGGUAACCUUCUCGUAAGAAGCAGAAUCACGUUAUGUACAGUUUAGUCGGUAAAUGAAAAACCUCAUUUCCACGGGAAUGCCUUCGGAGGCGGGCGCAACCUUGCAAUCGUCAGGAAGCGUCACCUUAAAGACUCACUCCACCGAUUGUCUACAGUGCAGUAUAAGAUGAAGACGAUCCAGGCAAUUCGAGAAGUCCAUCCAAGUUGAGACGGGCAUUCUCCAAAUCACCAAAAACCUUAAAUAUCUUACUGAUCCAGACAAAAUGGCUUUGAAAACGACCAGUGCUGGAGUCACUUUGACGACACGGUUCAAAAGAAAGAGGAAAGCAAAUGUCACGCCACCUGCCACACCAUUCAACAACACUUCCUUCCUAAUCCAGCUGCAACGACGACGAGAGCAACGACGCAUCCCAACAAGGUGUGAAUUCGACCAGUAUGGCUCCAUGGAGAACAUGAUUGCCUGGUGCUACUUGCCCACCUCACCACAAAACCGAAUCCCUGGGCCCUCAUCUCAUUCUAUCCCUCAUCCUGCCACAAACCCAUCCUCACAAACCCCACAAAAUCCUGUGCCGUCCCGUGAAAACCAGGAUGGAGAAGUCUUCAAUCUUAACCAUCCUCGUCAACAACAACAAGAACAACAACCCUGCAGCGGCGACCCUCAAACCUCGCCUACCACAUCGAAACUCGAAGACUCUCAAGUGAACCCACCAGAUUGUUGAUCUCCUCCUCAUCAGCAAAGUCUGCCCCAAUUCGCGAUCGACAACGUUACUGCUUGUGAUGGAAAGCUGAGCAACGAACUGUAUCUGAUCCAUGCUUCAUCUAGAUUUGCUGCAUUGUAGAUAGUCUCUUUCUGUUGCCCUAUUCUUUAUGUGCACACAUACACACACACAAAUAAUAAGACAUAUAUAUAUAUAGAUAGAUAUAUAAAUAAAUAAAUAGCAAUACGCAUGUGAGGGUUGUGGGUUUUGGGGUUUAGAAAGUGUGCAGCUCAAUGACACGCAAGGCAAGCUUCCAAUUUCGUGAGAUGGGUAGUUUCAUACUUCAUUGUAGAAUCACACCACAUUUAUUAUUGAGUUUUAUAACUCCAGGUAA